Long non-coding RNA from Erigeron canadensis, 756 nucleotides. RefSeq lists it as uncharacterized. Lineage: Eukaryota; Viridiplantae; Streptophyta; Magnoliopsida; Asterales; Asteraceae. The record is from RefSeq and is a predicted model, not a curated record. The transcript has 6 exons.
UGGAGUUCAAAUUUGUGAAAACAGGAGUUCAUUCCACGUGUGAGCUUAUUUUGAUGGUCAAUGUAUAGACACUAACAGUCUCCGAAGACCGGAUAGAAUGUUAGGUGAAGUGUGUGUAAGUAGCUUGAGGUGAAUUGGCCUCUUCGUUAGUAAGAAGUUCGGUGUUCUAUGUCGCAAGGAAAUGUUUAUUAUCAACAAAGAUGUAUAAAUAAUACACUCGAGGGUGCACUUUCUUUUUCUUCCAACACGUUGUCAUCUUUCUUCUAAGGGGAACGUUGCAGAAUAAUCGUGUUCAGUUGCUUCAAAAACUUCUUUUCUUGAAGGAGCGGACAGGGAGUUCACUUCAUUUAUUUCCAAGAGCUACUUGGGAAGGCUCACUUUCAAUCUACCUUGCUAAGUAUUUGUCGAACUUUUUCUGGUGGACACAUGAACCUACCAAUAACAGAACUUGAUCAUUCCGGAAGGUUAAUGGCAUGGUAAAGUAAUUUCUGACAGCUCAUGCAUCAUUACGGAGUAAGGAUGGACAUCAUCGCUAAGGUCGAGUGAAAAGAAAUGGUUGUGAAAGGUUAUAUAUCUAGAAAUGAGGAGAAGUUCAUACACAUUCGAGUCACGUGUGUGUUUUUUUUAAAUUCACAUAAGGUACUAGAAGUGUAAUAUUACUCUACUACCAAUUGUUCACAAACUUGUGUAUCAUUUUUAAAAGUCAGUCAGGCAAUUUUGCAAUUGAAAAUCAUAUAUUAUAAUGGUUUGACUCGA